UGGGGAAUAUUGCACAAUGGGCGCAAGCCUGAUGCAGCAACGCCGCGUGAGGGACGACGGCCUUCGGGUUGUAAACCUCUUUUGGCAGGGAAGAAGCGAAAGUGACGGUACCUGCAGAAAAAGCACCGGCUAACUACGUGCCAGCAGCCGCGGUGAUACGUAGGGUGCAAGCGUUGUCCGGAAUUAUUGGGCGUAAAGAGCUCGUAGGCGGUUUGUCGCGUCUGCUGUGAAAACCCGAGGCUCAACCUCGGGCCUGCAGUGGGUACGGGCAAACUAGAGUGCGGUAGGGGAGAUUGGAAUUCCUGGUGUAGCGGUGGAAUGCGCAGAUAUCAGGAGGAACACCGAUGGCGAAGGCAGUCCCCUGGGCCUGUACUGACGCUCAUGCACGAAAGCGUGGGGAGCAAACA
Molecule: ribosomal RNA, 407 nt
Filed under: uncultured bacterium
Lineage: Bacteria
Description: bacterial SSU rRNA
Rfam family: Bacterial small subunit ribosomal RNA
Source: RNAcentral